AUAAACUGUUGUGCCCAAGAUCGCGAAUCUGAGAAACCACCAAGGAGCCGACACCGAUGCAAGCACACGAGGGUUUCUUUACAAGCUCGAGCCUGGGUCCAAGUAUACCCCACGCAGUAGAGCAGGGACUUGGACCCCGAUACUAAGAGGCUUAGCAACUUUAUAGGGGCCAGUGGUCAAUGGGAUGCGCAGAAAGUUGCACAGUCAGGCUGGUCCACUGAGCUGGAUUUACGAUUAGGGUGUGUCCUGGCCUUUGACUAGGGCCGGGCAGUGCCCUAAGCACAAGGCGGGUGCAGCCCAAAAUAGUCAGUCCUGCUCUGCUUGUCCAGGGGUAGGGGAUUUUGUUAAGUUUCCUGGGUCCCACAGCAACCAUCUUUGAUGAGACAUUUCCAGGAUUUCAUUCGUGAUUAUAAAUAUUGAUCUUUUCUCUUACAAUUGAAAUCAACUGGCUCAAGUCCAGUAAAAAUAUGAAUGAGGCUAAAGAUUCAUGGUUUUCAGCCUCCUGGCGGUUUCAUAUUUUGACUGAUCAAACUUCAUUUCAUGAGGCCUUUCUUAUAACUAGGAUAAGUCUUAGCAUUUCUAUGAUUUAAUUGCAAUUAACGAUGACAAAAUGCAUUAAAAUGCUCAAAUGGUUGUAUAAAUUCUGCUGCAUAAAAGGGGCAACAAGUCAUUUGAUAAGAAAUGAUAUGAGAAGUGAGAAUCUACUGCUUGCAAUUGUGCUCACUAUAAGGAAUCUUGAGUCCACUAAGGAUACAUGGCAAUUAUAACAGUAUACUAAGAAGUCAAGAAAGAUGCUCUCAGUAGCCAUACAAUGCUAAUGGCAACAGGGUUGGAAGUAACAUUGGAAAAGAAGAUCCAAGGAUUGGCAGCCUAUAACCCAAAAUUCAACUCUCCACCUGCUUUUGAAAAUAAAGUUUUAAUGGAAUACAGGCAUGUACAUUUCUUUACAUACUGUAUAUACAUGUUUUCAUUCUACAAUGGCAAAAUUGAGUAGCUGCAACAGAAACCAUAUGGAUCACAAAGCUGAAAAUAUUUAUUAUCUGUCCCUUUAUAGAAAGAGCUUACCAACUCCUGUCUAGAUCAAAGGGAUUGUCUAUAUCCUGAAAGUUAUCUGGAGAAGAAUCUAGAGACCACAAGAAAGCUGUGAACAUCAAAUAAAUGAAUAAAACCAUAUUAAAGUAGAUGUAUG
Molecule: long non-coding RNA, 1189 nt
Filed under: Vulpes vulpes (red fox)
Lineage: Eukaryota; Metazoa; Chordata; Mammalia; Carnivora; Canidae
Description: lncRNA (ENSVVUG00000026372.1)
Source: RNAcentral